Pogona vitticeps (central bearded dragon) is the source of this 1605-nucleotide long non-coding RNA. The record is from Ensembl. NCBI's taxonomy places the organism in Eukaryota, Metazoa, Chordata, Lepidosauria, Squamata, Agamidae.
UGGAGCCUCAGCUUCAGGAUCUGUCCUUCCAGUGAGCACUCAGGGUUGAUUUCCUUUAGAACUGAUAGGUUUGUUCUCCUUGCAGUCCAGGGGAUUCUCAAGAGCCUCCUCCAGCACCACAAUUCAAAGGCAUCAAUUCUUCGGCAGUCAGCUUUCUUUAUGGUCCAGCUCUCACUUCCAUACAUCACGACAGGAAAAACCAUAGCUUUGACUAUUCGGACUUUUGUUGGCAAGGUGAUGUCUCUGCUUUUCAAGAUGCUGCCAAGAUUUGUCAUUGUCAUUGUCAUUGCCAUCAUUGAUGGGGGGGGGUUAAAAAUCCGUCUUUUUUUCCAUUUCAUGCCCUUUCUUCCCUUGCCUGUUGCAAAACUGGCCUUGGCGGGCUGCAACCUCAGAGAAAGGCUGUUUCCAUUAGAAAGCACGGCGGCUGCAGAGUACAUUUCCCCCACUCCCGUCACAGCAGAGCCAUACUUGAGAUGACAUUCCGCCGGCUUGGCUCCCACCUCAGGGAUUUCGGAGGCGGGAGCCCCGAACCAUGCCUGAGACCCCCGCCCCCCAACCGCGACCGCGGACCCCCUCACCUGCAAAAGGCUCCGCAGUUUCGCACUAGGCCCUGCUCCCUCUCCGGUCGCCUAGCAACACCCAGAGCCGCCGGACCACUCGGGCUCCGUAGGAUUGAAAGCCACGUGGGGCGACGGAGCCAAUGACGAGAGGGCCACGUGGCCCCGCGAGCCAAGCAGAAGCCGAGGAAGAGGAAGGGAGCGUCCUAGCAACGGGAGAAGCUCGAAAGAGGGGAGGGGCCGCUUGCCAGGGUUAAGGUCUAGCUGGGCGGGCCAGGCCUUCUGGGAGUUGUAGUCCAAGAACAUCCAGGGACCCAAGGUUGGGAACCACUACUUUAGGUGGUCCAAGGGCGGCCGUCCUCUAGCAUAGUGGUUCUUAACUUUAGGUUACCCAAGUGUUUUUUAGACUGCAACUCCCAGAAGCCCCAGCCAGCACAGCUGGUGGUGAAGGCUUCUGGGAGUUGCAGUCCAAGAACACCUGGGAGACCCACGGUUGGGAAUCCUUGCUCUAGCAGGAGUCCCAUAUUUUGAAUUUAUUUGUUUGUUGAUUUAAAAUACUUCUAUCCUGCCUUUCUCCUUGAAAAGGACCCAAGGCAGCUUACAAACAAUGAACGACAAUACAUUGAAAGCUGAAAAGCAAUGGGUAGACAACAGGGGUUAACACCCUUAAAAGAGAAUAUUUACAACUACGAACCUUGAAGGAGAAGGCAUCUUGCAUCAUUAAGGAGCAAUAUUAAGGCAAAGAUCAAUAAGUAUACAAAAAAAAAACCAGGCCUUCUCAGCGGUGGCCCCUUGCCUUUGGAACAUCCUUCCUUCUGAAAUCCGCCUGGCUCCUCUGCUGGGAGUUUUUAAGAGUGAAUUGAAGACCUAGCUCUUUAGGCAGGCCUUCCCUCCUGCCACUACUUAAUUUUUCCUCUGGUUUUUGGCUUGGUUUAGUCUUUCCACUGUUGAUUUUAAUUUUAUUGUCUUUUUUUGGGCUGUAAACUGCCCAGAGUAGAUUCGUCUAGAUGGGCGGUAUAAAAGCCAAAUAAAUAAGAAAGGAACUACA